This 192-nucleotide ribosomal RNA is filed under the name uncultured bacterium. Its description in RNAcentral is "partial 16S ribosomal RNA". It matches the Rfam family "Bacterial small subunit ribosomal RNA", at positions 339 to 523 of the family's 1533-position model. The record is from RNAcentral.
CUAGGGGAGGCAGCAGUGGGGAAUAUUGCACAAUGGGCGCAAGCCUGAUGCAGCCAUGCCGCGUGUAUGAAGAAGGCCUUCGGGUUGUAAAGUACUUUCAGCGGGGAGGAAGGCGUUGUGGUUAAUAACCUCAGCAAUUGACGUUACCCGCAGAAGAAGCACCGGCUAACUCCGUGCCAGCAUCCGCGGUAA